RNAcentral lists this ribosomal RNA (1447 nucleotides) under uncultured bacterium. Its description in RNAcentral is "bacterial SSU rRNA". It matches the Rfam family "Bacterial small subunit ribosomal RNA". The record is from RNAcentral.
GAGUUUGAUCCUGGCUCAGGAUGAACGCUGGCGGCGUGCUUAACACAUGCAAGUCGAACGAACCUUCGGGUUAGUGGCGGACGGGUGAGUAACGCGUGAGAAUCUGCCCUCAGGAGGGGGAUAACGGCUGGAAACGGCCGCUAAUACCCCAUAUGCCGAGAGGUGAAAUGAAUUUCGCCUGAGGAUGAGCUCGCGUCUGAUUAGCUUGUUGGUGGGGUAAUGGCCUACCAAGGCGACGAUCAGUAGCUGGUCUGAGAGGAUGAUCAGCCACACUGGGACUGAGACACGGCCCAGACUCCUACGGGAGGCAGCAGUGGGGAAUUUUCCGCAAUGGGCGAAAGCCUGACGGAGCAACGCCGCGUGAGGGAUGAAGGCCUCUGGGCUGUAAACCUCUUUUAUCAAGGAAGAAGAUCUGACGGUACUUGAUGAAUAAGCCACGGCUAAUUCCGUGCCAGCAGCCGCGGUAAUACGGGAGUGGCAAGCGUUAUCCGGAAUUAUUGGGCGUAAAGCGUCCGCAGGCGGCCCUUCAAGUCUGCUGUUAAAAAGUGGAGCUUAACUCCAUCAUGGCAGUGGAAACUGUUGGGCUUGAGUGUGGUAGGGGCAGAGGGAAUUCCCGGUGUAGCGGUGAAAUGCGUAGAUAUCGGGAAGAACACCAGUGGCGAAGGCGCUCUGCUGGGCCAUCACUGACGCUCAUGGACGAAAGCCAGGGGAGCGAAAGGGAUUAGAUACCCCUGUAGUCCCGGCCGUAAACGAUGAACACUAGGUGUCGGGGGAAUCGACCCCCUCGGUGUCGUAGCCAACGCGUUAAGUGUUCCGCCUGGGGAGUACGCACGCAAGUGUGAAACUCAAAGGAAUUGACGGGGGCCCGCACAAGCGGUGGAGUAUGUGGUUUAAUUCGAUGCAACGCGAAGAACCUUACCAGGGUUUGACAUCCUGCGAAUCUCUUGGAAACGAGAGAGUGCCUUCGGGAACGCAGUGACAGGUGGUGCAUGGCUGUCGUCAGCUCGUGUCGUGAGAUGUUGGGUUAAGUCCCGCAACGAGCGCAACCCACGUCUUUAGUUGCCAGCAUUAAGUUGGGCACUCUAGAGAGACCGCCGGUGAUAAGCCGGAGGAAGGUGUGGAUGACGUCAAGUCAUCAUGCCCCUUACAUCCUGGGCUACACACGUACUACAAUGCUACGGACAAAGGGCAGCAAGUUCGCGAGGACAAGCAAAUCCCAUAAACCGUGGCUCAGUUCAGAUCGUAGGCUGCAACUCGCCUACGUGAAGGAGGAAUCGCUAGUAAUCGCAGGUCAGCAUACUGCGGUGAAUACGUUCCCGGGCCUUGUACACACCGCCCGUCACACCAUGGAAGUUGGCCACGCCCGAAGCCGUUACUCCAACCCUCGGGAGGAGGACGUCGAAGGUGGGGCUGAUGACUGGGGUGAAGUCGUAACAAGGUAACCGUA